RNAcentral lists this ribosomal RNA (748 nucleotides) under uncultured bacterium. RNAcentral describes it as "bacterial SSU rRNA". It matches the Rfam family "Bacterial small subunit ribosomal RNA", at positions 64 to 799 of the family's 1533-position model. The record is from RNAcentral.
GAGGGGAAACGACAUCGAAAGCUUGCUUUUGAUGGGCGUCGACCGGCGCACGGGUGAGUAACGCGUAUCCAACCUGCCCACCACUUGGGAAUAACCUUGCGAAAGUAAGACUAAUACCCAAUGACGUCUCUAGAAGACAUCUGAAGGAGAUUAAAGAUUUAUCGGUGAUGGAUGGGGAUGCGUCUGAUUAGCUUGUUGGCGGGGUAACGGCCCACCAAGGCGACGAUCAGUAGGGGUUCUGAGAGGAAGGUCCCCCACAUUGGAACUGAGACACGGUCCAAACUCCUACGGGAGGCAGCAGUGAGGAAUAUUGGUCAAUGGACGAGAGUCUGAACCAGCCAAGUAGCGUGCAGGAUGACGGCCCUAUGGGUUGUAAACUGCUUUUAUAAGGGAAUAAAGUGAGCCUCGUGAGGCUUUUUGCAUGUACCUUAUGAAUAAGGACCGGCUAAUUCCGUGCCAGCAGCCGCGGUAAUACGGAAGGUCCGGGCGUUAUCCGGAUUUAUUGGGUUUUAAGGGAGCGUASGCCGGAGAUUAAGCGUGUUGUGAAAUGUAGACGCUCAACGUCUGCACUGCAGCGCGAACUGGUUUCCUUGAGUACGCACAAAGUGGGCGGAAUUCGUGGUGUAGCGGUGAAAUGCUUAGAUAUCACGAAGAACUCCGAUUGCGAAGGCAGCUCACUGGAGCGCAACUGACGCUGAAGCUCGAAAGUGCGGGUAUCGAACAGGAUUAGAUACCCUGGUAGUCCGCA